RNAcentral lists this ribosomal RNA (426 nucleotides) under uncultured bacterium. Its description in RNAcentral is "partial 16S ribosomal RNA". It matches the Rfam family "Bacterial small subunit ribosomal RNA", at positions 354 to 796 of the family's 1533-position model. The record is from RNAcentral.
GUGAGGAAUUUUCCGCAAUGGGCGAAAGCCUGACGGAGCAAUGCCGCGUGAAGGAUGAAGGCCUAUGGGUUGUAAACUUCUUUUCUUAGAGAAGAAUAUUGACGGUAUCUGAGGAAUAAGCAUCGGCUAACUCUGUGCCAGCAGCCGCGGUAAGACAGAGGAUGCAAGCGUUAUCCGGAAUGAUUGGGCGUAAAGCGUCUGUAGGUGGCUUCAAAAGUCUCCUGUCAAAGAUCAGGGCUUACCCCUGGGCCGGCAGGAGAAACUCUGAGGCUAGAGUUUGGUAGGGGCAGAGGGAAUUCCCGGUGGAGCGGUGAAAUGCGUAGAGAUCGGGAGGAACACCAAAGGCGAAAGCACUCUGCUGGGCCACAACUGACACUGAGAGACGAAAGCGAGGGGAGCAAAAGGGAUUAGAAACCCCUGUAGUCC